This is a long non-coding RNA of Syzygium oleosum, 775 nucleotides long. RefSeq lists it as uncharacterized. The transcript has 2 exons. The record is from RefSeq and is a predicted model, not a curated record. Lineage: Eukaryota; Viridiplantae; Streptophyta; Magnoliopsida; Myrtales; Myrtaceae.
UCUUUUCAAAGCCAAUGUUUUCCCUAAUCUUUUCAGUGACCUUAUUUGGGUAAUUUUACGGUUCAGUUCGAUUCCACUUCUUCGAAGCGUUCAUCUCAAAAUUCUUGGAGGUUCAACUCAGAUAUGCAGAUCAGAUAAAAUGUUUACUGGACUGGACACUUUACGAGCAACCCUAACCUCAAAGACUUUGUGACGAUGCUGAGUGGUUACUACUUUGUGACAUCCAUUGACACAUCUCUCGAUUUCAAUUGUCAAUAAAAGAUUGCUUAAGCUCAUGAGACAGCACGUUGCCGAUGACUAGACCAAGUGACUCUCUACAGGCCUCACUGGUUGCCAGGUUGAUUAGCAAAAGAUCUUGUCCAUCUCUCCGCUACCACUGAGCCAAGGAGCGAUGAGAACUCUCGCCGAAUCAUCUCUGGGCUAUUUCAAAGAACAAGAUCUAUUGAAGCUAACCUUUAACAAAGCAGAAAAAGAGAGAAGCAUAGGGUGUUUUGAUAAUAUUUUGGGUGAUUUGUACUACCUUUAGGGACAUGGGAGGACUGUUAUUGGUUGAGGGCUGUGAUUGGUUGUAUGCGUCUUUUGAGCUUUGUAUUUGCAUGUGUGGUCAUGGGAGGUUUAAUUGUUUUGUAAGGUCACUUGGUGUCUUCUCUUUCUUGUAGUGUUGUGCGUGCUGUGUGCACAUAGUAUAGUCGUAAACUCUUCCAUUUUCCCUGAUUGUAAUGCAAAUAUUAAAGUUGAAUGAAUUCAUAAUGGUGAGUUGAUGAUGGUUGCUUGA